GACGAACGCUGGCGGCGUGCUUAACACAUGCAAGUCGAACGGAAAGGCUCCAGCUUUCUGGGGUACUCGAGUGGCGAACGGGUGAGUAACACGUGGGUAAUCUGCCCUGCACUCUGGGAUAAGCCUGGGAAACUGGGGCUAAUACUGGAUAUGACCUUUCUCCUUAUGGGGUUGGUUGGAAAGUUUUUCGGUGUAGGAUGAGCCCGCGGCCUAUCAGCUUGUUGGUGGGGUGAUGGCCUACCAAGGCGACGACGGGUAGCCGGCCUGAGAGGGUGAGCGGCCACAUUGGGACUGAGAUACGGCCCAGACUCCUACGGGAGGCAGCAGUGGGGAAUAUUGCACAAUGGGCGGAAGCCUGAUGCAGCGACGCCGCGUGAGGGAUGACGGCCUUCGGGUUGUAAACCUCUUUCAGCAGGGACGAAGCGUAAGUGACGGUACCUGCAGAAGAAGCACCGGCUAACUAUGUG
RNAcentral lists this ribosomal RNA (467 nucleotides) under uncultured bacterium. RNAcentral describes it as "partial 16S ribosomal RNA". It matches the Rfam family "Bacterial small subunit ribosomal RNA", at positions 28 to 507 of the family's 1533-position model. The record is from RNAcentral.